Molecule: ribosomal RNA, 261 nt
Filed under: uncultured bacterium
Lineage: Bacteria
Description: partial 16S ribosomal RNA
Rfam family: Bacterial small subunit ribosomal RNA
Source: RNAcentral
CCGGCGCACGGGUGAGUAACACGUAUGCAACCUGCCUGCCACAGCCGGAUAAUCGGGAGAAAUUCCGUCUAAUACGGCAUAAUGCAUCGACGGGACAUCCUGUUGGUGCCAAAGGUUAAUUCCGGUGGCGGAUGGGCAUGCGUCGCAUUAGUUAGUUGGCGGUGUAACGGACCACCAAGACGACGAUGCGUAGGGGUUCUGAGAGGAAGGUCCCCCACACUGGUACUGAGACACGGCCCAUACUCCUACGGGAGGCAGCAG